Molecule: ribosomal RNA, 410 nt
Filed under: uncultured bacterium
Lineage: Bacteria
Description: bacterial SSU rRNA
Rfam family: Bacterial small subunit ribosomal RNA
Source: RNAcentral
GGGAUAACUAUUGGAAACGAUAGCUAAUACCGCAUAACAAUGGAUGACACAUGUCAUUUAUUUGAAAGGGGCAAUUGCUCCACUACAAGAUGGACCUGCGUUGUAUUAGCUAGUAGGUGAGGUAAUGGCUCACCUAGGCGACGAUACAUAGCCGACCUGAGAGGGUGAUCGGCCACACUGGGACUGAGACACGGCCCAGACUCCUACGGGAGGCAGCAGUAGGGAAUCUUCGGCAAUGGGGGGUCACGCGGCCGCGUGCGGGAUGAAGGCCCCUGGGUUGUAAACCGCUGUCGUAGGGGAAUAAUGGUCGUGGGUUCUCCAUCGAUUGAAUGAUCCUAGGAGGAGACGGCUAAGUCGUGCCAGUCAGCCGCGGUAAGACGAACGUCAAACGGUUNUACGGAAUCGACUGG